GGGGAAAAAUUAAUAAUAAAUAUUUAUAAAAAAAAUUUAUAUAAUUAUUUAAUGGGGGUUAAAGUAUUUAUAUAGAAAAAAUUAUAAAAUUUAUAAAGAAUUAGUAUUGUGAAAGAAAUUUGAAAAAUGUGAAAAUAAAAUUAUAAUAAAGUAAAUUUAAUUUAUUGUAUCUUGUGUAUCAGAGUUUAUUAAAAAAAUAAUUUAGGGAAAUUAAUUUCGAAUUUAAAAGAGAUAAUUAAUUAAUAAAGUUAAUGUGACAUAAUUAUUUUUAAUAAUUAAUUGGAAAUGAUAAGUUAAUCGUUUUUAAAGAUAUCUAGUUUUUUUAGAAAAAAAUUAAAUUUUAAAUUAAUUUUUUGUCAUAAUUAAAUAAUUAAUUAUUACAAAAUUUAAUUAAAUAUUUUAGGGGAUAAGCUUUAAAUUAAAAAUUUAUAAUAAAAUUAAAAGUAAUUGAAAUUUUUAAAAUUUAUAUUUUUUAUAAAUUAUAAUUUUUUAUAAAUAAUUUCAUUUAAUUAAAAUUUUAUGUUAUAUUUAAAUUUUUAUAAAAAUAUAAUUUUUAAUUAAUAAAAAUUAGAAUUAAUGAUAAAAUUAGUAUAUAAAAUUAGAAAUAAAAAAUAAUUUAUUAAUAAUUAAUUGAAAGGAAUUCGGCAAAAAUUUAUAUUCACUUGUUUAUCAAAAACAUGUCUUUUUGGGAAUAAUUUAAAGUCUAAUCUGCCCACUGAAUAAUUUUUAAAGGGCUGCAGUAUAUUGACUGUACAAAGGUAGCAUAAUCAGUAGUCUUUUAAUUGAAGACUUGUAUGAAUGAUUUGAUGAGAUAUAAACUGUCUCUUUUUUAAAAAUAGAAUUUAAUUUUUUAGUUAAAAAGCUAAAAUAUACAUAAAAGACGAGAAGACCCUAUAGAUCUUUAUAUUUAAAUUUUUAGAUUUAUUAUAUAAAAAUUAAAAUUUUUAAAAAUUAAAAUAUUUUAUUGGGGUGAUAGAAAAAUUUAAUAAACUUUUUUUAAAAAUUAAACAUUUAUUUAUGAGUUUUUGAUCCAUAAUUUAUGAUUAGAAGAAUAAGUUACCUUAGGGAUAACAGCGUAAUUUUUUUUUUUAGUUCAAAUAAAAAAAAGAGUUUGCGACCUCGAUGUUGGAUUAAGAUAAAAUUUAAAUGCAAAAGUUUAAAAUUUUGAUCUGUUCGAUCAUUAAAAUCUUACAUGAUCUGAGUUCAAACCGGCGUGAGCCAGGUUGGUUUCUAUCUUUAUAUAAAUAAAAUAAUUUAGUACGAAAGGAUCAAUUAUUUUAAAUAAUUUAAUUUUAUGAAUAUUAUUAAAAGAAAUUU
This 1317-nucleotide ribosomal RNA is filed under the name Appias nero. RNAcentral describes it as "16S ribosomal RNA". The stretch from base 1067 to 1225 matches the Rfam family "Eukaryotic large subunit ribosomal RNA", at positions 2825 to 2984 of the family's 3401-position model. Lineage: Eukaryota; Metazoa; Arthropoda; Insecta; Lepidoptera; Pieridae. The record is from RNAcentral.